This 253-nucleotide unclassified non-coding RNA is filed under the name uncultured Sporolactobacillaceae bacterium. RNAcentral's name for it is "contains 16S-23S intergenic spacer region". It matches the Rfam family "Bacterial small subunit ribosomal RNA", at positions 524 to 776 of the family's 1533-position model. The record is from RNAcentral. Lineage: Bacteria; Bacillati; Bacillota; Bacilli; Caryophanales; Sporolactobacillaceae.
UACGUAGGGGGCAAGCGUUGUCCGGAAUUAUUGGGCGUAAAGGGCACGCAGGCGGUAUGGUAAGUCUGAUGUGAAAGGCCACGGCUCAACCGUGGAGGUGCAUUGGAAACUGUCACACUUGAGUGUAGGAGAGGAAAGCGGAAUUCCACGUGUAGCGGUGAAAUGCGUAGAUAUGUGGAGGAACACCAGUGGCGAAGGCGGCUUUCUGGCCUACAACUGACGCUGAGGUGCGAAAGCGUGGGGAGCGAACAGG